CGGGGCUGAUGGCGGCCCCGCGGCUGAGGCGAGCGCUGGCCGGGGAAAUCGCUUCCGUCUGCUUACCCUGCUCCAUUGCGGUUCUCUCCACUAAGACGAGCAGCAAAAACAGGGAGCUGCAAUGGGUGUGAUCUCUGCACUGGCUCCCCUCCCUGUCCCACUGCUGCUUGCUGGUGGUUGGAACAGGUGUGCUGGGUACCUGACUGGGAGUGCACACAGCAGGAAGAAGGAAAUGGAAAGCAGCUGAUGCUGGCUGGAGAGAGAAGGUGUGUGCAAGAGAGAGAGUUUAAACCAGCUGCUGGAAGGAAAUCCAAAGGCAGACACAUUUCCUGGAUGAGGCAGGGCUGUGGAUCAGAGGGCAAAGAAAGUCUCCAGUGAUUGCAAGUCCUUCCUCAAAAGUUACCUUUUGCUAGAGAAUGUUUUGCUGUAUCACUCUCUAUCUUGACUUUUUCUUGGGUUUUUAAUUGCCCCCACAAAAAUCUAAAUGAAGAAAUCACAGCCCAGAGGGUUGGAUAUGUAACUACUUGUGCCAUCACACAUGACCUGACUCCUAAGAGCCUGUCUGGGGACAGUAGUAUUUCUUAUAUGAACUAGGCUGAAAGUUCCAUUUCUAUCCUCACCUUGUUCUCAGUGGGCCUUCAGGAGCAGAGGGGACCUAUAAUGCAGCAGUUGCUCCCUCCAUCUGUGGUGCACAAAACAGUGAGCAAAACCCCACCAAAGCAAUAUAUGGAGAAGAAAUCAAAUCCAGAGAAAAGAAAACGAAAUGAGGGCAAGACUGUUGCAAAGAGCUAGUGAAGAGCCAAAGUAUGGAGUCCACAUAACUCCAGAAAACCUUCAUGGCUAGGAAGACAGGCUGUGGCAGCAACGGUAUAUUCCAUCCAUAUGAACACCAAUGCUGGAAAGAUAAACAGGACAAAUGGUAUCUUUCACAGAUUUGAAGUAAAAGCUUGUCUUUGGUGGCAGUCCUAAAGAGCCAGCCUGACCUCCAAAGCAAAGCCGUUCUAACAGCAUGAAUCAUUCCCAUACCAGCUGUCCAGGCUGCAAACACUACACAGAUGACCCCUCCUGUAACAACAGAGCCUGUAUGCAGCAGACCAAAAAUCACCGACAUUUCACCCUACAUUCCUCAAGAAACACUCAUUCUCAAAGAGUCUGUGAAACCUCCUGGCACAGUCCUGGGUAGGGGGAACCAAAAGCUUCAGCUUGGCUUGUAGCCGAAUGGCCUGGAUUGCUGUCCACGUGUUCAAGCCCAGGGCCUGCUUACCUUGUCUUGUGUGUCUUGCUCACAACAAUGCAGGGUGAAGGCAAAGCAAAUGCAAAGUGAUAUGAUGAGAGACUUGCAGUUCUCACUCCAUGGACAUAAAGGCAAGCCGUGGAAGCAGGACCAGGCAGGAUGGAGCACAGCAGAGCAGGAUCCCUUUCUUCUGAGAAUUGGACUGAUGAUUCACUUCUCAGCAGUGAUAAAAUUAGCUUGGUUGGUCAUACAUGUGUAUUUGCAGUACCAAAUAUUGUGAGGCCAGGAAGACUUACUGUUGUCAGUUUGACUUUUUCAGCCUGAACAUACUUGAUUGCUAUUUCAAUCUCCUGCUGUAAUCAGAUUGCAAAUAAAUCUAAGUAUAAAAUCAGA
Pyrgilauda ruficollis (rufous-necked snowfinch) is the source of this 1627-nucleotide long non-coding RNA. RefSeq lists it as uncharacterized. NCBI's taxonomy places the organism in Eukaryota, Metazoa, Chordata, Aves, Passeriformes, Passeridae. The transcript has 2 exons. The record is from RefSeq and is a predicted model, not a curated record.